This 253-nucleotide ribosomal RNA is filed under the name uncultured bacterium. RNAcentral describes it as "partial 16S ribosomal RNA". It matches the Rfam family "Bacterial small subunit ribosomal RNA", at positions 524 to 776 of the family's 1533-position model. The record is from RNAcentral.
UACGAAGGGGGCUAGCGUUGUUCGGAAUCACUGGGCGUAAAGGGCGCGUAGGCGGCCGAUCAAGUCGGGGGUGAAAGCCUGUGGCUCAACCACAGAAUGGCCUUCGAUACUGGUUGGCUCGAGACCGGAAGAGGUGAGUGGAACUGCGAGUGUAGAGGUGAAAUUCGUAGAUAUUCGCAAGAACACCAGUGGCGAAGGCGGCUCACUGGUCCGGUUCUGACGCUGAGGCGCGAAAGCGUGGGGAGCGAACAGG